This 200-nucleotide ribosomal RNA is filed under the name uncultured eukaryote. RNAcentral's name for it is "partial 18S ribosomal RNA". It matches the Rfam family "Eukaryotic small subunit ribosomal RNA", at positions 588 to 791 of the family's 1831-position model. The record is from RNAcentral.
GCUCCAAUAGCGUAUAUUUAAGUUGUUUGCAGUUAAAAAGCUCGUAGUUGGAUUUCGGGUGUGAACAACCGGUCCGUCUUUGAUGUGUACUGGUUGGUUGCGCCUUAUUGUCGAGGACGUGGUUCUGGCUUUCAUUAGCUGGGACACGGAGUCGGCAGCGUUACUUUGAGAAAAUUAGAGUGUUCAAAGCAGGCUAUCGC